Molecule: ribosomal RNA, 254 nt
Filed under: uncultured bacterium
Lineage: Bacteria
Description: partial 16S ribosomal RNA
Rfam family: Bacterial small subunit ribosomal RNA
Source: RNAcentral
UACAGAGGUCUCAAGCGUUGUUCGGAUUCAUUGGGCGUAAAGGGUGCGUAGGUGGCGAGGUAAGUCAGGUGUGAAAUCUCGGAGCUCAACUCCGAAACUGCACUUGACACUGCCCCGCUCGAGUACUGGAGAGGAGAUUGGAAUUCCCGGUGUAGCGGUGAAAUGCGCAGAUAUCGGGAAGAACACCCAUGGCGAAGGCAGCUCUCUGGGGACGGUACUGACGCUGAGACGCGAAAGCGUGGGGAGCGAACAGG